Non-coding RNA from Mustela erminea (ermine), 1029 nucleotides. Lineage: Eukaryota; Metazoa; Chordata; Mammalia; Carnivora; Mustelidae. The record is from the annotation of a RefSeq genome assembly.
UGGCAGAAACACACUGGACCCAUGGAAAGCAGCAAGAUGGUGACUCCAUCACAGCUUCCUGGCCUUCUGCUCCUCUGGGUUCCAGCCUCUCAUGGUGAGAUUGUGCUGACCCAGUCUCCUGCUGUCCUGUCCAUGGCUCCAAAAGAAGGAGUCACCAUCACCUGCGGGGCGAGUCAGAACAUUAACAAGUGGUUAGCCCGAUAUCAGCAGGAGCCAGGGAGAGCUCCUAAGCUCCUGAUCUAUACAACAUCCAAGCUGGAAACUGGGGUCCCGUUAAGGAUUAGCAGCAGUGGGUCUGGGACAGACUUCACUGUCACCAUUAGCAGUCUGGAGCCUGAAGAUGCUGGGACCUACUACUGCCAACAGUCUAACAGCUACCUGCCCACAGUGUUACAGGUGCUGAUGAAAUGCUUUGUUUCCUCCUCUUCUGACCUCCAGAUCUAGGGUAAGGUGCCUCGUGAGCAACUCUGUAGGGAACCAUAGAGGAAAGGGGGCUCAGGAAAAUGUGCUUCCAGAAGUGAUGGUGGUGAUGGGGAGUUGACAGAAGUCAGCCUGGGAUGGUCACUGCUUUUACAUCUCUCAGAAGUUGGCCAGUUAAGGGAAGGCCCCAGAAUAUAUGUGAAUAUGCUUCUAGCUAUCAUCAUUGGGUCAUAACAAGAAGAUUUUGUUAAGUGACUGGGGAACAGAUGGUUGAGGAAAUUGUGUCAUGUAUAUAGAAAUAACCUGACAAUGAAGGACUUUUGUGAUUGGAAAAAAAAGAAAAAAACUAAAUGUGGAUGAAGCAUUGUUUUUUUCUUAAUAUAAGAAUAUCUUGUUGCUUAAAAUUCUCUAUAAAUGAGAGCAUCAUCAACAACCCUGAAAGUCUGUGACAAAUGUGAAAUAGCUGUCUCCACCUGAUACCUACUCAUAUGGCUCUCCAUUUUAACAAGAUGGCAGGAGAGUUGUGUAAGGUUUAAGAUGCUCUGUUAUAGAGCAUUUUUACUUCCCAUAAACUAGUCAUUCUUUAAUUUUCUAUUUUCAUUGAAGACA